This 393-nucleotide long non-coding RNA is filed under the name Capsella rubella. RNAcentral describes it as "long non-coding RNA (CRUB_LNC004098)". Lineage: Eukaryota; Viridiplantae; Streptophyta; Magnoliopsida; Brassicales; Brassicaceae. The record is from RNAcentral.
UUGUCUUUCUUACCCUUGGAUUCAUCUUUCUGUUUUGUUUCUUUAUCUGCCUUCUUCUUCUUUUCCUCUGUUCCUGAUUCAUCCUUCUCUUUCUUCUUCUUCUUUUUACCAUCUUCUUCCUCUAACUCCUCCUUUUCUUGUGAAACAUCCUCAUGUUUCUUCUCUUUAUCUUCCUUCUUCUUCUUUCCCUCUGAUCCUGAUUCAUCCUUCUCUUUCUUCUUCUUCUUUUUAUCAUCUUCUUCUUCUAACUCUUUUUCUUGUGAUACAUCCUCAUGUUUCUUCUCUUUAUCUUCCUUCUUCUUGUUUUGUUUUGAUCCUGAUUCAUCCUUCUCUUUCUUCUUCUUCUUUUUACCAUCUUCUUCUUCUAACUCCUCCUUUUGUUCUGAUACAUCC